UACGUAGGGUGCGAGCGUUAAUCGGAAUUACUGGGCGUAAAGCGUGCGCAGGCGGUUCGUUGUGUCGGCGGUGAAAGCCCCGGGCUCAACCUGGGAAUGGCCGUUGAAACUGGCGAACUGGAGUGUGGCAGACGGAGUUCCGGGUGUAGCGGUGGAAUGCGUAGAGAUCCGGAGGAAGACCGGUGGCGAAGGCGGUCUGCUGGGCAGUUUCUGACACUGAUGCGCGACAGCGUGGGGAGCAAACAGG
Molecule: ribosomal RNA, 247 nt
Filed under: uncultured bacterium
Lineage: Bacteria
Description: partial 16S ribosomal RNA
Rfam family: Bacterial small subunit ribosomal RNA
Source: RNAcentral